CUCCAUCCCAAACCCAGGAAUGUGGGAACGAGCUCGCCCCCAGGACUGAGCUCUGUCUCCAGGCCUUUUCAGAAUCGCUCGCUCGUUGGCUGGAGAGACUAGAGGUGAAAACCUGGGGAAAUUCGCCCUCCUGGGAGGCUGGAUAGUUGUGGUGCAAAGAUAAAGAUCUUGUCCUGGCUUCCGGGAUCGAAAUGAAGAAUGCUCACCAGGAACUAGGCUAGGGAAUAAUAAAGUGGAGGAAUUCCAUGGAGACUGGAACAACCUCCAGGAAGUGAUGCAGAGCGAGAGGAGCAGAACCAGGAGAACAUUGUACACAGAGACUAAUACACUGUGGAACAAUCGAAGGUAAUGGACUUCUCUACUAGUAGCAGUGCAAUGAUCCAGGACAAUUGCUAUCCACAUCCAAAGAAAGAACUGUGGAAGUAGAAACACAGAAGAAAAACAAUUGCUUGAUCACAUGGGUCGAUGGGGAUAUGAUUGGGGAUGUAGACUCCAAACAAUCACCCUAGUGUAAUUAUUGUCAAUAAUAUGGAAAUAGGUCUUGAUCAGUGGCACAUGUAAAACCCAGUGGAAUUGCAUGUUGGCUAUGGGGGGGGGGGAGACUGAAAGAACAUGAAUUAUGUAACCAUGGAAAAAUAUUCUAAAUUAAUUAAUUAAAUAAAAAAAUAAAACCAAUGUAGCCA
This 683-nucleotide long non-coding RNA is filed under the name Monodelphis domestica (gray short-tailed opossum). Its description in RNAcentral is "lncRNA (ENSMODG00000048929.1)". Lineage: Eukaryota; Metazoa; Chordata; Mammalia; Didelphimorphia; Didelphidae. The record is from RNAcentral.